ACUAAGCGUACACGGUGGAUGCCCUGGCAGUCAGAGGCGAUGAAGGACGUGCUAAUCUGCGAUAAGCGUCGGUAAGGUGAUAUGAACCGUUAUAACCGGCGAUUUCCGAAUGGGGAAACCCAGUGUGAUUCGUCACACUAUCAUUAACUGAAUCCAUAGGUUAAUGAGGCGAACCGGGGAACUGAAACAUCUAAGUACCCCGAGGAAAAGAAAUCAACCGAGAUUCCCCCAGUAGCGGCGAGCGAACGGGGAGCAGCCCAGAGCCUGAAUCAGUGUGUGUGUUAGUGGAAGCGUCUGGAAAGGCGUGCGAUACAGGGUGACAGCCCCGUACACAAAAAUGCACAUAUUGUGAGCUCGAUGAGUAGGGCGGGACACGUGGUAUCCUGUCUGAAUAUGGGGGGACCAUCCUCCAAGGCUAAAUACUCCUGACUGACCGAUAGUGAACCAGUACCGUGAGGGAAAGGCGAAAAGAACCCCGGCGAGGGGAGUGAAAAAGAACCUGAAACCGUGUACGUACAAGCAGUGGGAGCACGCUUAGGCGUGUGACUGCGUACCUUUUGUAUAAUGGGUCAGCGACUUAUAUUCUGUAGCAAGGUUAACCGAAUAGGGGAGCCGAAGGGAAACCGAGUCUUAACUGGGCGUUAAGUUGCAGGGUAUAGACCCGAAACCCGGUGAUCUAGCCAUGGGCAGGUUGAAGGUUGGGUAACACUAACUGGAGGACCGAACCGACUAAUGUUGAAAAAUUAGCGGAUGACUUGUGGCUGGGGGUGAAAGGCCAAUCAAACCGGGAGAUAGCUGGUUCUCCCGAAAGCUAUUUAGGUAGCGCCUCGUGAAUUCAUCUCCGGGGUAGAGCACUGUUUCGGCAAGGGGGUCAUCCCGACUUACCAACCCGAUGCAAACUGCGAAUACCGGAGAAUGUUAUCACGGGAGACACACGGCGGGUGCUAACGUCCGUCGUGAAGAGGGAAACAACCCAGACCGCCAGCUAAGGUCCCAAAGUCAUGGUUAAGUGGGAAACGAUGUGGGAAGGCCCAGACAGCCAGGAUGUUGGCUUAGAAGCAGCCAUCAUUUAAAGAAAGCGUAAUAGCUCACUGGUCGAGUCGGCCUGCGCGGAAGAUGUAACGGGGCUAAACCAUGCACCGAAGCUGCGGCAGCGACACUAUGUGUUGUUGGGUAGGGGAGCGUUCUGUAAGCCUGUGAAGGUGUACUGUGAGGUAUGCUGGAGGUAUCAGAAGUGCGAAUGCUGACAUAAGUAACGAUAAAGCGGGUGAAAAGCCCGCUCGCCGGAAGACCAAGGGUUCCUGUCCAACGUUAAUCGGGGCAGGGUGAGUCGACUCCUAAGGCGAGGCCGAAAGGCGUAGUCGAUGGGAAACAGGUUAAUAUUCCUGUACUUGGUGUUACUGCGAAGGGGGGACGGAGAAGGCUAUGUUGGCCGGGCGACGGUUGUCCCGGUUUAAGCGUGUAGGCUGGUUUUCCAGGCAAAUCCGGAAAACUAAGGCUGAGGCGUGAUGACGAGGCACUACGGUGCUGAAGCAACAAAUGCCCUGCUUCCAGGAAAAGCCUCUAAGCAUCAGGUAACAUCAAAUCGUACCCCAAACCGACACAGGUGGUCAGGUAGAGAAUACCAAGGCGCUUGAGAGAACUCGGGUGAAGGAACUAGGCAAAAUGGUGCCGUAACUUCGGGAGAAGGCACGCUGAUAUGUAGGUGAAGUCCCUCGCGGAUGGAGCUGAAAUCAGUCGAAGAUACCAGCUGGCUGCAACUGUUUAUUAAAAACACAGCACUGUGCAAACACGAAAGUGGACGUAUACGGUGUGACGCCUGCCCGGUGCCGGAAGGUUAAUUGAUGGGGUCAGCGCAAGCGAAGCUCUUGAUCGAAGCCCCGGUAAACGGCGGCCGUAACUAUAACGGUCCUAAGGUAGCGAAAUUCCUUGUCGGGUAAGUUCCGACCUGCACGAAUGGCGUAAUGAUGGCCAGGCUGUCUCCACCCGAGACUCAGUGAAAUUGAACUCGCUGUGAAGAUGCAGUGUACCCGCGGCAAGACGGAAAGACCCCGUGAACCUUUACUAUAGCUUGACACUGAACAUUGAGCCUUGAUGUGUAGGAUAGGUGGGAGGCUUUGAAGUGUGGACGCCAGUCUGCAUGGAGCCGACCUUGAAAUACCACCCUUUAAUGUUUGAUGUUCUAACGUUGACCCGUAAUCCGGGUUGCGGACAGUGUCUGGUGGGUAGUUUGACUGGGGCGGUCUCCUCCUAAAGAGUAACGGAGGAGCACGAAGGUUGGCUAAUCCUGGUCGGACAUCAGGAGGUUAGUGCAAUGGCAUAAGCCAGCUUGACUGCGAGCGUGACGGCGCGAGCAGGUGCGAAAGCAGGUCAUAGUGAUCCGGUGGUUCUGAAUGGAAGGGCCAUCGCUCAACGGAUAAAAGGUACUCCGGGGAUAACAGGCUGAUACCGCCCAAGAGUUCAUAUCGACGGCGGUGUUUGGCACCUCGAUGUCGGCUCAUCACAUCCUGGGGCUGAAGUAGGUCCCAAGGGUAUGGCUGUUCGCCAUUUAAAGUGGUACGCGAGCUGGGUUUAGAACGUCGUGAGACAGUUCGGUCCCUAUCUGCCGUGGGCGCUGGAGAACUGAGGGGGGCUGCUCCUAGUACGAGAGGACCGGAGUGGACGCAUCACUGGUGUUCGGGUUGUCAUGCCAAUGGCACUGCCCGGUAGCUAAAUGCGGAAGAGAUAAGUGCUGAAAGCAUCUAAGCACGAAACUUGCCCCGAGAUGAGUUCUCCCUGACUCCUUGAGAGUCCUGAAGGAACGUUGAAGACGACGACGUUGAUAGGCCGGGUGUGUAAGCGCAGCGAUGCGUUGAGCUAACCGGUACUAAUGAACCGUGAGGCUUAACC
RNAcentral lists this ribosomal RNA (2889 nucleotides) under Shigella dysenteriae. RNAcentral describes it as "bacterial LSU rRNA". It matches the Rfam family "Bacterial large subunit ribosomal RNA". Lineage: Bacteria; Pseudomonadati; Pseudomonadota; Gammaproteobacteria; Enterobacterales; Enterobacteriaceae. The record is from RNAcentral.